Molecule: ribosomal RNA, 251 nt
Filed under: uncultured prokaryote
Description: partial 16S rRNA
Rfam family: Bacterial small subunit ribosomal RNA
Source: RNAcentral
ACGGAGGAUGCGAGCGUUAUCCGGAUUCAUUGGGUUUAAAGGGUGCGUAGGCGGACUAUUAAGUCAGUGGUGAAAUCCUGCAGCUUAACUGCAGAACUGCCAUUGAUACUGAUAGCCUUGAGUUUGGUUAAGGUAGAUGGAAUGUGUCAUGUAGCGGUGAAAUGCUUAGAUAUUUGGCGGAACACCGGUGGCGAAGGCAGUUUACUGAGUUAUACCAGACGCUGAGGCACGAAAGCGUGGGGAUCAAACAG